Molecule: long non-coding RNA, 266 nt
Filed under: Lathyrus oleraceus (garden pea)
Lineage: Eukaryota; Viridiplantae; Streptophyta; Magnoliopsida; Fabales; Fabaceae
Description: Pisum sativum (pea) long non-coding RNA (PSAT_LNC011683)
Source: RNAcentral
ACUUCUACAUAAGUCCAAUUACGAUUGCUUAACAUAGCGCUAAAGUUGCCUUAUGGCACACUAACUACUAACACUAACUAUUGACUAUUAACAUUUAUUUUAUGCAAUUUACUUUAUGCCAUUUACUAUUCUUGCACAUAUUAUCCAUUUGAUUUUCUCUUUGCUCACUUGAGCACAUGUUUAUGUUAAUGUCAUUUGCCUUUUGCUCAGUUGAGCACAUAAUUGUGUAUAUAUUAUUGUGCUUGUGUUUUUUUGUUUUGAUUGUU